AGAGUUUGAAUCAUGGCUCAGAUUGAACGCUGGCGGCGUGCCUAACACAUGCAAGUCGAACGAGAAAGUUCCUUCGGGAAUGAGUACAGUGGCGCACGGGUGAGUAACGCGUGGAUUAUCUACCCAAAGGUUCGGAAUAACAGUUGGAAACGACUGAUAAUACCGGAUAUCCUGGCAACGGGAAAGGUGGCCUCUACUUGUAAGCUACUGCCUUUGGAUGAGUCCGCGUCUCAUUAGCUAGACGGUAGGGUAACGGCCUACCGUGGCAACGAUGAGUAGCAGGCCUGAGAGGGUGGCCUGCCACACUGGGACUGGAACACGGCCCAGACUCCUACGGGAGGCAGCAGUGGGGAAUAUUGCGCAAUGGGGGAAACCCUGACGCAGCGACGCCGCGUGGAGGAUGAAGGUUUUCGGAUCGUAAACUCCUGUCAGUAGGGAAGAACCCUGCAAGGAAUAAUACGCCUUGCAGCUGACGGUACCUACAGAGGAAGCACCGGCUAAUUCCGUGCCAGCAGCCGCGGUAAUACGGAAGGUGCAAGCGUUAAUCGGAAUCACUGGGCGUAAAGCGCUCGUAGGUGGCUUUGUAAGUCAGGUGUGAAAGCCCACGGCUCAACCGUGGAAUUGCACUUGAUACUGCAUUGCUUGAGUUCGGGAGAGGGUAGUGGAAUUCCAGGUGUAGGAGUGAAAUCCGUAGAGAUCUGGAGGAACACCAGUGGCGAAGGCGACUACCUGGACCGGGGAGGAACGCGGAAAAGCCGUGGGGGAGGCCAAACAGGGACUUAGAUACCCUUGGUAAGUCACGCCGGUUAAACGAUGGGGUACUAGGUGUUGCGGGUAUUGACCCCUGCAGUGCCGAAGCUAACGCAUUAAGUACCCCCGCCUGGGGAGUACGGCCGCAAGGCUAAAACUCAAAGAAAUUUGACGGGGGCCCGCACAAGCGGUGGAGUAUGUGGUUUAAUUCGAUGCAACGCGAAGAACCUUACCUAGGCUUGACAUCCCUGGAACUCUCCCGAAAAGGAGAGGUGCUCUUCGGAGAACCAGGAGACAGGUGCUGCAUGGCUGUCGUCAGCUCGUGCCGUGAGGUGUUGGGUUAAGUCCCGCAACGAGCGCAACCCCUAUCUUUAGUUGCCAUCAAGUGAUGUUGGGCACUCUAGAGAGACUGCCCGGGUUAACCGGGAGGAAGGUGGGGACGACGUCAAGUCAUCAUGGCCCUUACGCCUAGGGCUACACACGUACUACAAUGGCGCAUACAAAGGGCAGCGAUACCGCGAGGUGGAGCCAAUCCCAGAAAGUGCGUCUCAGUCCGGAUAGGAGUCUGCAACUCGACUCCUUGAAGUCGGAAUCGCUAGUAAUCCUGGAUCAGCAUGCCAGGGUGAAUGCGUUCCCGGGCCUUGUACACACCGCCCGUCACACCACGAAAGUUGGUUCUACCCGACAUCGGUGAGCUAACCCGCAAGGGAGGCAGCCGCCUACGGUAGGGCUAAUGUUUGGGGUGAAGUCGUAACAAGGUAGCCGUA
Molecule: ribosomal RNA, 1517 nt
Filed under: uncultured bacterium
Lineage: Bacteria
Description: bacterial SSU rRNA
Rfam family: Bacterial small subunit ribosomal RNA
Source: RNAcentral